AGUGAACGCUGGCGGUAGGCCUAACACAUGCAAGUCGAACGGCAGCACAGUAAGAGCUUGCUCUUACGGGUGGCGAGUGGCGGACGGGUGAGGAAUACAUCGGAAUCUACUUUUUCGUGGGGGAUAACGUAGGGAAACUUACGCUAAUACCGCAUACGACCUACGGGUGAAAGCAGGGGAUCUUCGGACCUUUCGCGAUUGAAUGAGCCGAUGUCGGAUUAGCUAGUUGGCGGGGUAAAGGCCCAACAAGGCGACGAUCCGUAGCUGGUCUGAGAGGAUGAUUGGCCACCCUGUAACGGAGAAACGGUCCCGACUCAAACGGGGGGCAGCAGUGGGGAAUCUUGGUCGAUGGGCGAAUGCCUGAUCCAGGAAUACCGCGUGGGUGAUGAAGGCGUUCGGCUUGUAGAGCCAUUAUGUUGGGAAAGAAAAGCAGCAGGUUAAUACCCGGCUGUUAUGACGGUACCCAAAGAAUAAGCACCGGCUAACUUCGUG
Molecule: ribosomal RNA, 492 nt
Filed under: uncultured bacterium
Lineage: Bacteria
Description: partial 16S ribosomal RNA
Rfam family: Bacterial small subunit ribosomal RNA
Source: RNAcentral